Molecule: ribosomal RNA, 392 nt
Filed under: uncultured bacterium
Lineage: Bacteria
Description: bacterial SSU rRNA
Rfam family: Bacterial small subunit ribosomal RNA
Source: RNAcentral
AUUGAACGCUGGCGGCAUGCCUUACACAUGCAAGUCGAACGGCAGCACGGGAGCAAUCCUGGUGGCGAGUGGCGAACGGGUGAGUAAUAUAUCGGAACGUGCCCAGUCGUGGGGAUAACGUAGCGAAAGCUACGCUAAUACCGCAUACGAUCUAUGGAUGAAAGCGGGGGAUCGCAAGACCUCGCGCGAUUGGAGCGGCCGAUAUCAGAUUAGGUAGUUGGUGAGGUAAAGGCUCACCCAAGCCGACGAUCUGUAGCUGGUCUGAGAGGACGACCAGCCACACUGGGACUGAGACACGGCCCAGACUCCUACGGGAGGCAGCAGUGGGAAUUUUGGACAAUGGGCGCAAGCCUGAUCCAGCAAUGCGCGUGCAGGAUGGAGGCCUUCGGGUU